Molecule: ribosomal RNA, 301 nt
Filed under: uncultured bacterium
Lineage: Bacteria
Description: partial 16S ribosomal RNA
Rfam family: Bacterial small subunit ribosomal RNA
Source: RNAcentral
CAGCAGCCACGGGAAUACGUAGGUGGCAAGCGUUGUCCGGAAUUAUUGGGCGUAAAGGGCUCGCAGGCGGUUUCUUAAGUCUGAUGUGAAAGCCCCCGGCUCAACCGGGGAGGGUCAUUGGAAACUGGGAAACUUGAGUGCAGAAGAGGGGAGUGGAAUUCCACGUGUAGCGGUGAAAUGCGUAGAAAUGUGGAGGAACACCAGUGGCGAAGGCGACUCUCUGGUCUGUAACUGACGCUGAGGAGCGAAAGCGUGGGGAGCGAACAGGAUUAGAUACCCCCGUAGUCCCUGUCUCUUAUAC